Molecule: non-coding RNA, 430 nt
Organism: Chiloscyllium plagiosum (whitespotted bambooshark)
Lineage: Eukaryota; Metazoa; Chordata; Chondrichthyes; Orectolobiformes; Hemiscylliidae
Source: RefSeq, a predicted model, not a curated record
UGGAGAUAUUCUAAUACCUCAACAGUUUGUUCGGGGGCUGUCUUCAAGUGGAGUUUGUGCUAAAAUGUCAAGGUUGAACCAUUACAUCUGUUCUGAAGUAUGGUGCUAAACUGAAUGCAGUUCCUCCUGAUUGGAUCGGACCAAGACUCUGCAAAACUGAAGCAUCACUUCCUUUCUUUGGAAUUCCAAACUCUCUUGUGGUAAUGUUCUACUAGCCUUGAUGAUUACUAUUUGUGCUGGAUACAGCCAUCUUACUGCCCAUCGUUAAUUACCCUUGAACCUAAUGGCUUACUGGGUCAGUUAAGAGACAACCAGACGGCUACAACUGCAGUCACACAGAGACCAGACUGGAACCAAGAUGGUGCCAGAGAACACUCAGACUGUGAGCAAAACAAAACCUCACCUUCGGCAGCCCAAUGUUCGACAUUGC